AGAGCGAACGCUGGCGGCAGGCCUAACACAUGCAAGUCGAGCGCCCGUAGCAAUACGGGAGCGGCAGACGGGAUAGUAACACGUGGGAACGCGCCCUUCGGUUCGGAAUAACUCAGGGAAACUUGAGCUAAUACCGGAUACGCCCUUACGGGGAAAGAUUUAUUGCCGAAGGAACGGCCCGCGUCCGAUUAGCUAGUUGGUGAGGUAAUGGCUCACCAAGGCGACGAUCGGUAGCUGGUCUGAGAGGAUGACCAGCAUCACUGGGACUGAGACACGGCCCAGACUCCUACGGGAGGCAGCAGUGGGGAAUAUGGACAAUGGGCGCAAGCCUGAUCCAGCCAUGCCGCGUGGAUGAUGAAGGCCUUAGGGUUGUAAAGUCCUUUUAACGGGGAAGAUAAUGACGGUACCGUAGAAUAAGCCCCGGCUAACUUCGUGCCAGCAGCCGC
Molecule: ribosomal RNA, 446 nt
Filed under: uncultured bacterium
Lineage: Bacteria
Description: SSU rRNA
Rfam family: Bacterial small subunit ribosomal RNA
Source: RNAcentral